Molecule: ribosomal RNA, 254 nt
Filed under: uncultured bacterium
Lineage: Bacteria
Description: partial 16S ribosomal RNA
Rfam family: Bacterial small subunit ribosomal RNA
Source: RNAcentral
UACGGGGGGAGCAAGCGUUGUUCGGAUUUACUGGGCGUAAAGGGCGCGUAGGCGGUCAGCACAAGUCAGUUGUGAAAUCUCCGGGCUUAACUCGGAAAGGUCAACUGAUACUGUGCGACUAGAGUGCGGAAGGGGCAACUGGAAUUCUCGGUGUAGCGGUGAAAUGCGUAGAUAUCAGGAGGAAUACCGGUGGCGAAAGCGACUCUCUGGACGGCAACUGACGCUGAGGCACGAAAGCGUGGGGAGCAAACAGG